Molecule: ribosomal RNA, 441 nt
Filed under: uncultured microorganism
Description: bacterial SSU rRNA
Rfam family: Bacterial small subunit ribosomal RNA
Source: RNAcentral
GAGUUUGAUCGUGGCUCAGGAUGAACGCUGGCGGCGUGCCUAAUACAUGCAAGUCGAGCGAACAGACGGGGAGCUUGCUCCCCUGACGUUAGCGGCGGACGGGUGAGUAACACGUGGGUAACCUACCUAUAAGACUGGAAUAACUCCGGGAAACCGGGGCUAAUGCCGGAUAACAUGUUGGACCGCAUGGGUCCUACAGUGAAAGACGGUCUUGCUGUCACUUAUAGGUGGACCCGCGCCGUAUUAGCUAGUUGGUAAGGUAACGGCUUACCAAGGCAACGAUACGUAGCCGACCUGAGAGGGUGAUCGGCCACACUGGAACUGAGACACGGUCCAGACUCCUACGGGAGGCAGCAGUAGGGAAUCUUCCGCAAUGGGCGAAAGCCUGACGGAGCAACGCCGCGUGAGUGAUGAAGGCCUUCGGUCGUAAACGUACUGUUA